GAGAGUUUGAUCCUGGCUCAGGACGAACGCUGGCGGCGUGCUUAACACAUGCAAGUCGAACGGUGAACCUUGGAGCUUGCUUCGAGGGGAUCAGUGGCGAACGGGUGAGUAACACGUGAGUAACCUGCCCCGGACUCUGGAAUAAGCGCUGGAAACGGCGUCUAAUACCGGAUACGAGACGCAACCGCAUGGUUAGUGUCUGGAAAGUUUUUCGGUCUGGGAUGGACUCGCGGCCUAUCAGCUUGUUGGUGAGGUAAUGGCUCACCAAGGCGACGACGGGUAGCCGGCCUGAGAGGGCGACCGGCCACACUGGGACUGAGACACGGCCCAGACUCCUACGGGAGGCAGCAGUGGGGAAUAUUGCACAAUGGGCGAAAGCCUGAUGCAGCGACGCCGCGUGAGGGAUGACGGCCUUCGGGUUGUAAACCUCUUUCAGCAGGGAAGAAGCGAAAGUGACGGUACCUGCAGAAGAAGCACCGGCUAACUACGUGCCAGCAGCCGCGGUAAUACGUAGGGUGCGAGCGUUGUCCGGAAUUAUUGGGCGUAAAGAGCUUGUAGGCGGUUUGUCGCGUCUGCUGUGAAAAUCCGGGGCUCAACCCCGGACUUGCAGUGGGUACGGGCAGACUAGAGUGUGGUAGGGGAGACUGGAAUUCCUGGUGUAGCGGUGAAAUGCGCAGAUAUCAGGAGGAACACCGAUGGCGAAGGCAGGUCUCUGGGCCACUACUGACGCUGAGAAGCGAAAGCAUGGGGAGCGAACAGGAUUAGAUACCCUGGUAGUCCAUGCCGUAAACGUUGGGCGCUAGGUGUGGGACUCAUUCCACGAGUUCCGUGCCGCAGCUAACGCAUU
This 847-nucleotide ribosomal RNA is filed under the name Janibacter melonis. Its description in RNAcentral is "bacterial SSU rRNA". It matches the Rfam family "Bacterial small subunit ribosomal RNA", at positions 8 to 861 of the family's 1533-position model. The record is from RNAcentral. Lineage: Bacteria; Bacillati; Actinomycetota; Actinomycetes; Micrococcales; Intrasporangiaceae.